ACCAAUGUGGUGUAGUGGUUUGAACACUGGACUACGACUCUGGGGACCAGGGUUUGAAUCCCUGCUCAGCCA
RNAcentral lists this transfer RNA (72 nucleotides) under Phrynosoma platyrhinos (Desert horned lizard). RNAcentral describes it as "tRNA-OTHER". The stretch from base 9 to 72 matches the Rfam family "tRNA". Rfam says of the family: Transfer RNA (tRNA) molecules are approximately 80 nucleotides in length. Their secondary structure includes four short double-helical elements and three loops (D, anti-codon, and T loops). Lineage: Eukaryota; Metazoa; Chordata; Lepidosauria; Squamata; Phrynosomatidae. The record is from RNAcentral.